RNAcentral lists this ribosomal RNA (279 nucleotides) under uncultured bacterium. Its description in RNAcentral is "partial 16S ribosomal RNA". It matches the Rfam family "Bacterial small subunit ribosomal RNA", at positions 28 to 308 of the family's 1533-position model. The record is from RNAcentral.
GAUGAACGCUAGCGGGAGGCCUAACACAUGCAAGUCGAACGGGAUUGGGAGCUUGCUCCCAUGAGAGUGGCGCACGGGUGAGUAACGCGUAUGCAACCUACCUUUAACUGAGGGAUAGCCCAUAGAAAUGUGGAUUAAUACCUCAUAGUUCUUUUGUCCCGCAUGGGAUGAUAGAUAAAGCUCCGGCGGUUAAAGAUGGGCAUGCGUGACAUUAGCUAGUUGGUAAGGUAACGGCUUACCAAGGCUACGAUGUCUAGGGGUUCUGAGAGGAUGAUCCCC